UCGCCCAUUUCUUUGUCUCUUGUAGGAUUUUGCGGAGCCACUCGACAGAUGAGAAUCUCAUUUCGAGGCUCCUCAGAAGGCGAACUGCACCCCCUCCCUCAAGCCUCUUCUCCAGUCUCAUGGUUUUCAUGACCACUAGGGGAAGACGACGAAUUCCAAGGCACUUGCUGGAACA
RNAcentral lists this long non-coding RNA (175 nucleotides) under Sus scrofa (pig). RNAcentral describes it as "lncRNA (ENSSSCG00070005770.1)". The record is from RNAcentral. Lineage: Eukaryota; Metazoa; Chordata; Mammalia; Artiodactyla; Suidae.